This 503-nucleotide ribosomal RNA is filed under the name uncultured bacterium. Its description in RNAcentral is "bacterial SSU rRNA". It matches the Rfam family "Bacterial small subunit ribosomal RNA", at positions 28 to 490 of the family's 1533-position model. The record is from RNAcentral.
GACGAACGCUGGCGGCGUGCCUAAUACAUGCAAGUCGAACGCACCCUCGUUUAGAUUGAAGGAGCUUGCUCCUGAUUGAUAAACAUUUGAGUGAGUGGCGGACGGGUGAGUAACACGUGGGUAACCUGCCCUAAAGUGGGGGAUAACAUUUGGAAACAGAUGCUAAUACCGCAUAAAACCUAACACCGCAUGGUGUAGGGUUGAAAGAUGGUUUCGGCUAUCACUUUAGGAUGGACCCGCGGUGCAUUAGUUAGUUGGUGAGGUAAAGGCUCACCAAGACCGUGAUGCAUAGCCGACCUGAGAGGGUAAUCGGCCACACUGGGACUGAGACACGGCCCAGACUCCUACGGGAGGCAGCAGUAGGGAAUCUUCCACAAUGGACGAAAGUCUGAUGGAGCAACGCCGCGUGAGUGAAGAAGGUUUUCGGAUCGUAAAACUCUGUUGUUGGAGAAGAAUGUAUCUGAUAGUAACUGAUCAGGUAGUGACGGUAUCCAACCAGAAAG